Lolium perenne is the source of this 3030-nucleotide non-coding RNA. The record is from RefSeq and is a predicted model, not a curated record. NCBI's taxonomy places the organism in Eukaryota, Viridiplantae, Streptophyta, Magnoliopsida, Poales, Poaceae.
GGCAAAACAAUCUUGAUCGUCCAUUGGCCGAGCUACAGUAAAAACCCACCCCUACUUUUCACCUCGACCAUUGGAUCUGUGAAUUUUUGUGACACUUCUGCAGCCUCUUGUUGAGUCCAUGACUCCUGGGACCGGUUCCGUGCGGGGUCCACUGGUCGGAGGCAGCCACAUGCUCUCGUUUUCGUCCCCUCAUUUUUCUGUGUGCAUACUGGUGGGGUGAAAACCCUAGAUCGAACCCGUGGUGAAAAUCCUCUCUCUACUUGUUUGGCCGUGUGUGUGGCGGCGACGAUGGCGUGCGGGAGGAGGAGCGUGGCGGAGCUGCACCGGCUGCCCCAGGAGAAGAAGAGCAGGCUCAUGCUCUGCGAGUUCCUUCUGCUUGGCGAGAUUCAGCGUAGCGCCAGCGAGCCGACGGAGCUUGAUGGGACGGUCGCGGUGGCGGGCGGGAGGAGGCGGUGACGAUGGCGCGCCGGAGGAGGAGGGUGGCGGAGCUGCACCGGCCGCCCCAGGAGAAGAAGAGGUGGCUCCUGCUCUGCGAGCUCCUUCUGCGUGGUAAGAUUCAGCGCAACGCCGGCAAGCCGACGGAGCCGGAUGGGACGGCCGCGGCGGCGGGCGUGAGGAGGUGAUGCACGAGCCCGGCCUCCUCCGUGCAGUACGAGACGACCGCGCCUCUCCUCUGACGGCCAUCGCAUCUCCUCCACGCCUCCCUGGCUCGCGAGCCCCUCCUUGCUCCUCUCUGCCAUCCACUUGCUGCGUGGCGGUUGGUGGUAGGGGCAGCCCUUGUCUCGUGGGAGGUGGGCACAUAGAGGCAGUAGGGGACGGGUCUCCAUGGCUCCAUUCGUGGAUGCUCCAUGUUUGUUAAUUUCUGGAUCAACUAUUUAGAUCUGACUCUCAAAAGGAUGCGGUUCAGUCUGCUGCAAUAUGGUAUUUUUGGAAGGUCUGAUACAACAGCAAGUGGAGAUUCUCCCAGAGAAUGGAUACUUGAGAUUUCUCUGUUAUUUUUGUUAGGAUACAUGAUCAGGUUACGAUCGGUUUGGCAGCAUAUGUUUAUGUUAACAAAAUGGACACUUCUUGUCAUGCCGAUGAAUUGUCAUGUGAGGCUGAAGUUGCAGAUGAUAAAUAGGGGACACGAUUUUUAUCCAGCAUUCAACAACCUCCAGUCCUAUUAAAAAGACAACAAUCAGAUGGGUUUUGAGAACAGAGGCGAGGCUAGAUGGAACUUUGAGGGCCUCCAGUUUGAUUGUGGCUUGCGAUAUCUAUUUCUCUACAGCAAGUACCACUUAUAUGGUUUUUUUUAUCGUUGCGCAAUAUCCUCACAUGCUUUCCUUUUCUCUGGAGAUUCUUUGAACUAACACCAGCUAUUUCCAAUGAUUCAAGUAUUGGCAGCGGCUGCUAUUUUUUGGUAUGCAUUUCACCUCAGAGGGAAAAGUCUGUGGGGGUAGAGGGCUAUAACAUUUCACAAGUAUUGCAAUGGCACUUAACGAGUUUGUUCUGGUUGUAGCAAUUGUUAUGCAGACUAGCCUGGAGUCUGGUUUUUGUACAGGUAGUGUCCAUCCUGGUUCUGGUGAUUUGAUUUGGGCAAUUCUUCAAGUUUGGUUCUCAUAUAUUGGUCCUAAGAAACUGAGAAUUCUUCACCUGACAUUCUGCAAUUGCUUUCAACCGGGUUACUUAUAACAGUAGUCUAAUGUGGAAAAAAGCAUAAUCUGAGUUGGGCGGCAAAGCCUUGAUAUCUGCUGGUUUAUAAUUUAUUUUUCUACUAUGUUACCUAUAGGAAUUUGACCAGAUUCUGGGAAUUGUUCCCUGUGAAAUCUCUGGCGGCAACGCCUGUACCGAAAUAAUAUCUAGAUGUGCUCCCUGCCACCAUUGGUAAUGAACCAAAUGAUCAAUAUGAUCGCCACCUAUGAUGAGUAUGAUGGCUGAACUGUACGUCACGAUGAUCAGAUCGUUUCUCCACUACAACAAGACAGAUUACAGAAGAUGGCAGCGAAACGGUGCAGCGGUUUGGAGUCUACAAGCCAGGGUACAAUACAGUUCGAGAAUGGGGGUAUUUGUGGACCAAAUUGCCAAGAACAAAUCACAACGAGGUGGCAGUGAUGAUGCUUCUGGUAAUUCGGAAACCCUGGCUGGAAAGAAAUGCAAGUACUUUUGACCAUAAGAGUGCAACUUUGCAACAAGUUUUACAGGGAUAUUUGGUAUGAUUUGACUGUGGCAUAUUAUGGAUAUCACUGAUUAUCCUUACCUUCACUACGACCCUAUAUUGGUCAUUCAACACCUCACUCCAAAGGCACCGCAAUCCCAAGAUAGAUAUACAUUGACCCCAGUAAUGCUGAAAUAUUUUGGGUCAGAGAGCGGAGGACAAUGACGGCUGCCAGCGACCCGGGCCUCCUCACGUGAAGGAUCUUCUCCGUCCACGAUUUCCCGGGCGUCAGAUCCGCGAGCUCCCAUAUAUUUUCCUGAUUUCCUCACGAUUUGCCUCAAGAUUUGCCUAUUGUUGCUGUUUCAGAUUUGGCAGAGCAUUGGUUGAGAAAACACCUCGAAAGAAAAGGAAGGGCAUGCUGGGCAUGGAAGAAGCAAGAUAUUAGAGAUGGGACACCAAGGAGAGGAAGGCAGGUCUCCAGAAUAAAAAAAAGAUAGUUCCAAGAGGAAGGAAAGAAGGAAAGUCUGCGGCUUUGGCAGUAUGGAGAUGUUAAAUCUGAUGAGGAGCAGGUUUCAGGUGCAAGAAAAGCGGGAGGCCGUCGGUAGAUGAGAGCAGAUUACUCAAGACAGUGUUCAUAGUGUAGUGUAAAUGGUCAUGAUUACAUGUGAAGUUUUGGACGCUCCCAGCAGAACUCAGCCGAAACUAUAUGAAGUGACAGGGCUACAUUUAUGCAGUUAGAACAAGCCAAUGCUGAACGUUCUUAGUUUGAGCUGUAUUUGCUGCUCCAUUCAGUUAUUACAUCUUUAGAGUGGAGAGGUAAACUACAUUCUUUCGCCCUUACGAUUAACAAGGUUGUUUCUCUGUGCAAUAUAUUUUGUUGUUAUGAGGCAUUCAAA